GACGAACGCUGGCGGCGUGCUUAACACAUGCAAGUCGAGCGGUAAGGCCCUUUCGGGGGUACACGAGCGGCGAACGGGUGAGUAACACGUGGGUGACCUGCCCUUAGCUCUGGGAUAAGCCUGGGAAACUGGGUCUAAUACCGGAUAUGACUCCAUGACGCAUGUUGUGGGGUGGAAAGCCUUGUGCGGCUAGGGAUGGGCCCGCGGCCUAUCAGCUUGUUGGUGGGGUGAUGGCCACCAAGGCGACGACGGUAGCCGGCCUGAGAGGGCGACCGGCCACACUGGGACUGAGACACGGCCCAGACUCCUACGGGAGGCAGCAGUGGGGAAUCCUGCGCAAUGGGCGAAAGCCUGACGCAGCGACGCCGCGUGGGGAUGACGGCCU
Molecule: ribosomal RNA, 385 nt
Filed under: uncultured bacterium
Lineage: Bacteria
Description: bacterial SSU rRNA
Rfam family: Bacterial small subunit ribosomal RNA
Source: RNAcentral